This is a long non-coding RNA of Capsicum annuum, 896 nucleotides long. RefSeq lists it as uncharacterized. The transcript is spliced from 4 exons. The record is from RefSeq and is a predicted model, not a curated record. Lineage: Eukaryota; Viridiplantae; Streptophyta; Magnoliopsida; Solanales; Solanaceae.
GUAUAAAAGAUGUUAUUGCUUCAUAUCUUUUCUUAGUUGCCUGUAAUUUUUAAUUGUUGGACAGUAAAUUCCUUUUCUGAUAAUCAAUAGGAUUAUUUGGUGUUUCCAUUUGUUAAAUUUUGUUCCUUCACUAUUAUGCCUUCAUAAUAUUCAUAUUUUUUAAUAUUUUAUUAUUAUAUUUAUUCCAUUGAUUGUAAGGUUAUUCUCCUCAGUGAGAGAGAACUUGCGGGCUACCAAAAAGGAAUAUGCUAAAACAGAAGAUGAUCUGAAGUCACUUCAGAGUGUUGGACAAAUCAUAGGAGAUGUGCUCCAACCUCUAGUUAAUGAGUGUUCUGUUGCAGAUGUCUUACUUGAUGCAGUAUUGGUUUUAAGAGGUGAACCUAUGUUGAAAAUUCUCUAUAUAAAGCUAGUUGAGGUACAUACUAAUACUGUAAUCCUAGAGAAAUGGUUGACUUUCUCAAAUUAUUGGAGACAGAAAUGAAUGUCAUCAUCCUUAUCCUUCUUGCUGUCCUGUAUCCACUAUACAAGCAUUCCUAGUUAAAUCUCUAUAUGAAGUAUGGUUGUUACAGAACUUCCUUCAGAGUAUGCUAAGAAGGCCAUUGAGGCAGUAUUCUUGGCAUCUAUUUCUCCAUUACAAAUUUCUGAAGAUUAAAGUUACAAGUGAAGAUGCAAGUUCAGAGAAUGCACGGGCUCAUUAUUAUUUUGCUAAGAACAUUAUGUAAACUUGACAUCAAAUUCUAGCUCGGGAUGUUCAUUGGUUAGGGUUUUUUUUAUUUAGCAAAUAUUAAAACUAUUGACAUCAUAUAGCUCGAGAUGUUAAUUGGUUAAGUUUUUGUAGUUUAGCAAAUAUUGAAACUAUUGACAUCAUAUGCUAUCUCGGGAUAUUAAUUGGUUGA